AGAGAGAGAGAGAGAGAGUGAGCAAGAUGAGAGACAUAUCUGUUGUGAUUCAAGAGAGCCGGAUGCUGUGAGUGAGAGAGCUUCUGUUUUUGGUAGUGUGACAAAAUGGGUCUGUUCUUUAGGGUUCAUUUUUUUUUGUGUAAAAACAAUUAAAAAAGAAAGCAAGAAAAAAAAAAAGAGCUUAUCCCUACCUUCUAUAAGGCGUUGCCUCAUCAACUGUACCUUAUUGAAGCAAGGUUAGGCGGAGCCAAGUGAGGCGCUAGAAGGUCGUCUCGCCUCGACACCUUUCUCGCCUUUAACAACAUUGCUAAAAUCACUAAUACAAAUUUUUGUAAUGCACACUUGGAGGUCACGGGUUCAAGCCAUGGAAACAACCUCUCUGUAGAGCAGGGAUACGGCUAUGUGUAUCAACUCUCCCCAGAGUUCACAAGUGUGGGAUACUUCAUGAACCCUUUAUGCCUUCUCUGGCUAGGCUAAGUUGAAUGCUUUUUUAUGUUCUCUAAAGCCACAUAAAUGUCUAUUGAAAACUUUAGUUAACAAAAUGAGUUGUAUGCCAUAUUUGGCUAUAAGAGAAAUCUUGAAGAGUAUUGUUCUUUUUACUUUGGAAAGGCCAAUGUUCAGGAAGAAACAUAUAUAGUUUGAAAGGACAUGUCAACUUGUCUUGCCCAUGUGUGUUAAUCACUCAAGAUUUAUUUGCCCUUAAAUUAAUUUUGACAACAAUACUUUAAAUUUAUGAGCUUAUGUGUAUUAAUCUUUUAUUAGUUUUAAAUCAAUUCAACCUGGUCAGUUGUAGUGUGCUGAGCACACUGACUCUUUACAUUCAUAGGCUUGCCAUACUGCAAAACAUGAACAAUAUGACAAAUGUCGCAGAUCUGUGGCUAACAUUUAAUGCCCACCUUUUCAUAUCUCGAAUUCCAACAUUUAAUGCCCACCUUUUCAUAUCUCGAAUUCCAAUUACACUUGUGUGCUUUGCAUGCCUGAUGAGGUGCAGUACAGGGAUUCCUCCUUGAACCCUAGGCCAUCCUAAGGCAAUGCUGGUUAUUUCUUGAUGUAGGCACACAUGUUGUUUGUAUAUCUAUUGUGCUGUCAGAUGUGUUGGGAAGUUAUGGAAACGCACAGACAAAUGGGCCAAGAUUUUUUUGGUUGCUUUGAAGUAAGCAAAUGCACUUAAAUUUAAUUUCAUUCACUAUUUUUCAGGUAAAGUGUGCUCAAAUCCUUC
Molecule: unclassified non-coding RNA, 1219 nt
Filed under: Hevea brasiliensis (rubber tree)
Lineage: Eukaryota; Viridiplantae; Streptophyta; Magnoliopsida; Malpighiales; Euphorbiaceae
Source: RNAcentral